GGGACCUUAAGUUAAAUAUAGACUGUCGGCCUUCAAAGCCGGGAGAGUAGCAUACAUUGGUUACAGGUUUCGC
This 73-nucleotide transfer RNA is filed under the name Anadara pilula. Its description in RNAcentral is "tRNA-Trp". The record is from RNAcentral. Lineage: Eukaryota; Metazoa; Mollusca; Bivalvia; Arcoida; Arcidae.